This 1415-nucleotide ribosomal RNA is filed under the name Lactiplantibacillus plantarum. RNAcentral describes it as "bacterial SSU rRNA". It matches the Rfam family "Bacterial small subunit ribosomal RNA". RNAcentral also lists the same sequence under 1 other name. The record is from RNAcentral. Lineage: Bacteria; Bacillati; Bacillota; Bacilli; Lactobacillales; Lactobacillaceae.
CAGUCGACGAACUCUGGUAUUGAUUGGUGCUUGCAUCAUGAUUUACAUUUGAGUGAGUGGCGAACUGGUGAGUAACACGUGGGAAACCUGCCCAGAAGCGGGGGAUAACACCUGGAAACAGAUGCUAAUACCGCAUAACAACUUGGACCGCAUGGUCCGAGUUUGAAAGAUGGCUUCGGCUAUCACUUUUGGAUGGUCCCGCGGCGUAUUAGCUAGAUGGUGGGGUAACGGCUCACCAUGGCAAUGAUACGUAGCCGACCUGAGAGGGUAAUCGGCCACAUUGGGACUGAGACACGGCCCAAACUCCUACGGGAGGCAGCAGUAGGGAAUCUUCCACAAUGGACGAAAGUCUGAUGGAGCAACGCCGCGUGAGUGAAGAAGGGUUUCGGCUCGUAAAACUCUGUUGUUAAAGAAGAACAUAUCUGAGAGUAACUGUUCAGGUAUUGACGGUAUUUAACCAGAAAGCCACGGCUAACUACGUGCCAGCAGCCGCGGUAAUACGUAGGUGGCAAGCGUUGUCCGGAUUUAUUGGGCGUAAAGCGAGCGCAGGCGGUUUUUUAAGUCUGAUGUGAAAGCCUUCGGCUCAACCGAAGAAGUGCAUCGGAAACUGGGAAACUUGAGUGCAGAAGAGGACAGUGGAACUCCAUGUGUAGCGGUGAAAUGCGUAGAUAUAUGGAAGAACACCAGUGGCGAAGGCGGCUGUCUGGUCUGUAACUGACGCUGAGGCUCGAAAGUAUGGGUAGCAAACAGGAUUAGAUACCCUGGUAGUCCAUACCGUAAACGAUGAAUGCUAAGUGUUGGAGGGUUUCCGCCCUUCAGUGCUGCAGCUAACGCAUUAAGCAUUCCGCCUGGGGAGUACGGCCGCAAGGCUGAAACUCAAAGGAAUUGACGGGGGCCCGCACAAGCGGUGGAGCAUGUGGUUUAAUUCGAAGCUACGCGAAGAACCUUACCAGGUCUUGACAUACUAUGCAAAUCUAAGAGAUUAGACGUUCCCUUCGGGGACAUGGAUACAGGUGGUGCAUGGUUGUCGUCAGCUCGUGUCGUGAGAUGUUGGGUUAAGUCCCGCAACGAGCGCAACCCUUAUUAUCAGUUGCCAGCAUUAAGUUGGGCACUCUGGUGAGACUGCCGGUGACAAACCGGAGGAAGGUGGGGAUGACGUCAAAUCAUCAUGCCCCUUAUGACCUGGGCUACACACGUGCUACAAUGGAUGGUACAACGAGUUGCGAACUCGCGAGAGUAAGCUAAUCUCUUAAAGCCAUUCUCAGUUCGGAUUGUAGGCUGCAACUCGCCUACAUGAAGUCGGAAUCGCUAGUAAUCGCGGAUCAGCAUGCCGCGGUGAAUACGUUCCCGGGCCUUGUACACACCGCCCGUCACACCAUGAGAGUUUGUAACACCCAAAGUCGGUGGGGUAACCU